UUUCCGGUUGAUCCUGCCGGAGGCUACCGCUAUUGGAGUUCGAUUAUGCCAUGCGAGUCGCGAGAAAUUAGAUUCUCGGCGUACCUGCUCAGUAACACGUGGGUAACCUGCCCUAUGCUGGAUAAUAACCUCGGGAAACUGAGAAUAAUGAUCCAUAGUUCACUACGCCUGGAACGGUGAGUGGAUGAAAGCUCCGGUGGCAUAGGAUGGGCCUGCGGCGUAUCAGGUUGUAGGGGGUGUAACGUACCCUCUAGCCCUCUACGCGUACGGGUGUUGGGAGACAUAGCCCGGAGAUGGACUCUGAGACACGAAUCCAGACCCUACGGGGUGCAGCAGGCGCGAAAACUUGGCAAUGCGAGAAAUCGUGACCAGGGAACUCCAAGUGCAUCGGGUAAGACCGGUGCUUUUCUUGACUCUAAAUAGGUCUUGGAAUAAGGGGUGGGUAAGGACGGUGCCAGCCGCCGCGGUAAUACCGGCGCCUCAAGUGGUAGUCGCUUUUAUUGGGCCUAAAACGUCCGUGGCCGGUCUGAUACGUUCGUGGGUAAAUCAACCAGCUCAACUGGUUGAAUUCUGCGAGGACGGUCAGACUUGGGACCGGGAGGGGUGUGGGGUACGCUCAGGGUAGGGGUAAAAUCCUGUCAUCCUGAGCGGACCACCUGUUGCGAAGGCGCCACACUAGAACGGAUC
This 687-nucleotide ribosomal RNA is filed under the name uncultured archaeon. RNAcentral's name for it is "bacterial SSU rRNA". It matches the Rfam family "Archaeal small subunit ribosomal RNA", at positions 1 to 691 of the family's 1478-position model. The record is from RNAcentral.